This is a long non-coding RNA of Xiphophorus hellerii (green swordtail), 1401 nucleotides long. RefSeq lists it as uncharacterized. The record is from RefSeq and is a predicted model, not a curated record. NCBI's taxonomy places the organism in Eukaryota, Metazoa, Chordata, Actinopteri, Cyprinodontiformes, Poeciliidae. The transcript has 2 exons.
UCUACCUUAAUACUGUCCCCGGGUGCACAGAGAUGAAGAGCGGGUAUUGGCAAAAAGAGAAGAGUGCCUCCGCAGAAGCCCCUGUCCUCCUCUUUUUUCACAUUGUGAAUGAUCAAGCCUCAGAGGAAGAUUCAAGUCAAGUGUUGAUCUACUCAACCUGUAAGGACUGUUUGGCAGUAGAGGGAUACCAGCACACUAUCAGGCAGGUGAUCAUAUUAUGUUUAUUUGAUCUAAUGAAGCACCACUUUGAUUAAACAAACAAAAAAAAGAGCAGCAGAUACUUAUGAGAAGAUCAUUACCAAUGUGCAAAUAUGAAUAUCGUCCUUGAUGAUGCUGUUCUCCAUAGACUGCUUCAGUGAUCCACUAGUGGGGUAUUCUCGGCUGCUGAUGGGGGGACAACUGGGUCUGUGUUCCAAAGCCCAAGGUGGAGGGGGCCCAGAACUUGAUCCUCACAGUACCACAUUAUGGUCAAGAAUAUUGUUUUAAGUCAGAAAAAUACUGCUGCAAUUUCUCAGCUAUGAUAGGAAGGUUUGUAACUCAAAUCUAAAGAAAAAACAUUCAAAAACCAAUGCAUGGAGCAGGUAGGAGAAAGGUAAGGGAGAAAAUUUAUCAUGUCUUUAAAUGUUAAAUAUUAAUGAAUUUUCUAAUACUUCCAGAAUGCCAUGGGUCCGGGGGUCAAUCUAACAUUAUCCUGUUGUGCGCCCAGGCAAAGCAGUCAGCUGGCCUGGGGUUAUUCAUCCCAGUUCUGCAGCAGCCAGAUUUUACCUUCUGGUGAUGGGGAGCAUAAGUUGGAUAAAAUAUGAUCUGUUUGUAUAGACGAUUAUAUUUUUCCCCAUUAUUCAUUUCUUGUGUUUGUAACAUUGAUGACUUAAUAAGAAGAGGCACAGGACAUAAACUGCACAGGAAUGAAGUGGACAUUAUGUUUCUGUGGAAAUCAAAAACAUAUAAAGACAAACUCAACAUGGCUUCCUGUUUGUGAUUGUUAGGUAUAAAAUUUAGGUUCACUCAUGCAUAACAAUGUGUUUUAUUAAAUGGCAGUCAUAUGUGGUGUAGUUUAAGGAAUUUCCCUGUGUGCAUUCAGUUGGAGAUAAGAUUAUCCCUACUGGUGUACAAUGGCUUAUUUUACAGCAAGUAGAGAUAUUGUCAAAAGAGAUUAUACAUGUAAUCCCUUUUCAGACUCUCUUCUGUAAGAUCCACAGAAUAUACAUUGUGUGCUGAAAAAAAUGAGAAAACAGAUUCAAUUUUUUUAGGCUUAGCAACUUAAAUUCGAAUUACACUGCUUGCUUACAUGCUGUUGUCAAUGAUAUUUGGAAUCUUUGUAAGAAAGCUGAAGUGAUUCUUUCCCUAUCUCUACUUCUUUGUGUAUCUUCUUGUUUUUUCAAAUAAAAAUGCUGAGUGACA